This 252-nucleotide ribosomal RNA is filed under the name uncultured bacterium. RNAcentral's name for it is "partial 16S ribosomal RNA". It matches the Rfam family "Bacterial small subunit ribosomal RNA", at positions 26 to 304 of the family's 1533-position model. The record is from RNAcentral.
AGGAUGAACGCUGGCGGCAUGCUUUACACAUGCAAGUCGAACGGGCGUAGCAAUACGUCAGUGGCAGACGGGUGAGUAACGCGUUGGGAACGUACCUUUUGGUCGAACAACCCAGGGAAACUUGGGCUAAUACCGGAUAAGCCCUUACGGGGAAAGACUUUAUCGCCGAAAGAUCGGCCCGCGUCUGAUUAGCUAGUUGGUGUGGUAACGGCGCACCAAGGCGACGAUCAGUAGCUGGUCUGAGAGGAUGAU